Molecule: transfer RNA, 73 nt
Filed under: Ovis aries (sheep)
Lineage: Eukaryota; Metazoa; Chordata; Mammalia; Artiodactyla; Bovidae
Rfam family: tRNA
About the family: Transfer RNA (tRNA) molecules are approximately 80 nucleotides in length. Their secondary structure includes four short double-helical elements and three loops (D, anti-codon, and T loops). Further hydrogen bonds mediate the characteristic L-shaped molecular structure. tRNAs have two regions of fundamental functional importance: the anti-codon, which is responsible for specific mRNA codon recognition, and the 3' end, to which the tRNAs corresponding amino acid is attached (by aminoacyl-tRNA synthetases). tRNAs cope with the degeneracy of the genetic code in two manners: having more than one tRNA (with a specific anti-codon) for a particular amino acid; and 'wobble' base-pairing, i.e. permitting non-standard base-pairing at the 3rd anti-codon position.
Source: Rfam by way of RNAcentral
UCUUUGGUGGUUCAGUGGUUAAGAUUCUGUGCUCCCAAGGCAGGGGGUACAGGUUUGAUUCCUGAUCAGGGAA